CCAGGGGCCCCUUGGUAUAGAAGUACAGCUCUCACCAGGAAAUGGAAACCUCACAUGGGACAGGGUGACUUCUAGGAUUGGGCUCAGAACCAGAUCUGGGGGUUCCCCAAGUCUGGAGGCUCAAGAGGCAGUUGGUAAAGGAACCCCCAAACUGUCAGAAACACAGAGAGUGAAUAAGGCCCAGGAAGUGAGGUGACAUGGGGGAGGGAGGGCUGGGACCUGUCACUUGAAGGCUGAGGCACUUUCCUUUGGCCCCGUUGCUGGAAACUUCAGCAGCUGGCUGGCGCCCAGGCCCAUCUGGACAAGAGCCCCUUUCCACAGAGAGCUCGCUCCAAGAAGGGGCCACUAUGCCUUUGGGGAAAACUCCAAGAGCAGUUUCUGUGUUGGGGGCCUGCUUCCUGUGUAUGAAGAAUGUGAGUUUCUUUUGAUAAUUUAAUGUUCAUAUUGUAGUUUAGAUGGUCAAUCUGGUUCAUACCUAAGAGAACAACUAAAGGCUGAAGCACACAGGCUAGCUGUCUGGGCAUUGGGGCUCUUCCAUAACAACCUACACCACAUAGCCUCAGAUUGGCUGCACAGCCACUAGCCCAGGAUCCCAGCCGAGGCCGGAACCAUAAGUCCUCCAAACCUUUUUCUACAUGGCCAGGACUCAGCCAGGAGUGCUACCUCAAAAUCCCAAGUCACAGCUGGAGAAGACCCAAGUCUGUCUGUCUCGUUUACUUUGGCUGAAAGCACAGAGCUAAGUACCACCCUGAACUGUUCCUCUGGUGUCACCAUAGAUUCCAGAAUGAAGGUACGUAGAAUGCAUCACCCUAUGAAAGAGGACGGGUCUGUGAGGGUGAGCUGCUCCUCGGGCAGGAGUGGUCAGCCAGGAGGAACCAGAGUGAGCUCCUAAAGUGAAGGCAUUGGUAUUGCUGACAGAGGUGAGGGCUUCUAAGAACCUCUCAGAAGAGUGAGAGUGGAGGUCAAGAGGACCAGACUGGUCAACCAUGCAUAUCUCUGGUUCUUCCUCUGUUCAGACCCAAGGUAGUCGAGGGGUAACAGGCUUGGUGCCUCUCCCUCCCUCAGUUCAUUCUUCCUCCUACCUUGGUCACAUUGAAUAAACUUCCUUUUAGCAUUUCCCCCCAUCACCAUUCCAGGUCUCUAACUGGUUUAUUGGGAUCAGGUGGCUGAGCUUUUCUAGCUUAGGACUUCAGGCUUCCAGGACAAAAACUCCAGUUACAGCCAUGAGAGGUUUCUUUAGUGUCACCCUUGAAAAGUCACACCCGAGGAAAAAAAAAAUGGAACCAUUGAACCAAGCUGCUUUGAUCCCCAAGCUGUAGCCAGAGGGGAAAUGACCUGAAGUUGGGCAACUUGUCCAGGUCCAUAGAGAAAAUUACUGAUUAACUGAGGACUCGUGAGAAAGCAAAAGGAAACAAACGUACUAGCGAUCUAGGCUCACUGGUGGUAGCUGGGGCUAGGACAGAAAGUGGGACAGACAAGUCUCCUGGGCAACGACAGCCUGACACGUGGGUUAGGAGAGUUGGUUCUUUCCUUCUACCAUUGCGAGCCCUGCAGCUUGAGCUCAGUCAGGUCAUCGGGCUUGGUUGGCAACAUCUUUACCUGCUGAGGCAUUUUUACUGUUCAUCCCCUUUCCCCCUUCAAUCCUCUUUACUAUAACAUCGAAAAGAGCAUGGUGUAGGUCAGGAUGCAGCUCAUUCAGUGGAGUACCUGUCCAGCACAUUCAAGGCCCUGGGUUUGAUCCCUCGCACUGCAUAAACCAGGCAUGAUAGUUACGUACACGCAAGCAAUCCCGGCACGUGGGAGCUGGAGGCUGGGGGACUAGGAAUUCAUCACCAGGCACACAAGUUCAAUGCCCGCUGGGGCUACACGGGACCCUGUCUCUAAAACAAUUUUAAUAACAGAGUCUGAGGAUUUUCUGUACCCCAUACAGUUUUGGUAUCUUCUGGGGUAAGUCUACUACUUGAAGGCUGUGGUCUUUAAAAAUGCCUUUUAGACUGGGUAUUCAGAUUAGUCUAGAUUACUCAUCUAGCAUCUGUAGGUUCUUGGGUUCCAUCCCUACCACCAAGAAAAGGUAAAUCUAGAAAACUCUCCUUUCCUUAUGGACUUCCCUUAGUCAGAAGGAGCAGCUCCCAAUUCUUCCCCGACGCAGCAGGAUACAGCACCCCUCUCUUGCCCCCACCCCUCACCCCCAGACACUUAGGUUUCUUCGAGAGCAGUUUUUUCUAACUCCUGACCCGCAGUCAUUGAUCCCUAGCUGAACAGGGCCCCAGGCGUCCAUCUGGCUGCCUCAGAAUCAGAAAUGGCCGACGUUUGAAUCCCGUCCAAGGCUACUUUGUGAAUGGCCCUAAGGUCUAGCAUCUCUCGGGGACCAGGAGUCCCGAGAUGGAAGCCCCACAGUUAUUUAGAAGCUGUGUGGUAAGCUGGGAAGGGCUGAAGUUAAAUCUACAGGUAAAGCCCUGCACAGUGGUCAAGUCUACCAUCCUACUGCGCGAUGAGAGGGAGAGACGAGAGAAUCCGUGAUAGCUCACGGACCAUCAGCAAAUAAAAGAGAGAGACCCUGUCUCAGACGGAAAAUGGGGGCAAAAGCAGCUGUGAGACAGCUCAGCAUGAUCAACUCAGCAUGCAACUCAGAUGAUCCGAGUUGCAUCCCGGAACCCCAACACGGAAGGAGAGAACCAAGUUCCACAAGAUGUCCUCUGACCUCCACAUGCAUACCAUGGCCUAGAGGGACAUACACAAUAAAUAAAUAAAUGUGAAUAAAAAUAUUUUAAAAA
This is a non-coding RNA of Rattus norvegicus (Norway rat), 2774 nucleotides long. The record is from RefSeq and is a predicted model, not a curated record. Lineage: Eukaryota; Metazoa; Chordata; Mammalia; Rodentia; Muridae.